CAGAAUGUUUAUGUAACCGGGAGUUGUGACGUGGAGGGCACUAGGACCCAGAAAAUGGCCUCACACUAGGUGUGUCGUUUGUUAUUGAUGGGGGACGCUAUUUAGUGAUCCAAUCUGCAGCCGUGCUCACUUUAAACGCCGCUGUCGUCCAGCUUGUGUCAGGCCAAUCAAGCACACGUGGGGCUCCCUCGAGAUUCUGGCCGUGCGUUGAAACGUCGGGUUCAAAACGUAAGGUGCGAUAUACUUGCCAGUAAUCCAAAAUCCUGUUUAGCCUGCAUAGCAUUUUAAAGAUUAUUUUGCUUCAGGUGUGUUUGGGCUGUUGCAAGCCCCCACCCGUCAGACAGGGUGGCGCGUGGAACGCGGAAGUGAACAAAUGUGUGGCGUGAUUAAGGCCUACUGCCUGGAACUUUAUGGGAGGAAAGUCAUGACUUGCUGGAAGUGUUUUCACUGUAGGCUCUCUCCCUUAUGUUUUGAUGUGCUUUUUUUAUUUAAAUAUGCAUUGUAUCUGUUUCCAGGAUGAAUUGGUUGUGCUUUUAAUCUGCCACUAUUUUAUACCGCUACAUUUUUAUUGUAUUUGAUUGUGCCACUCUUUUAUUAGUUUUAAAUCAUUUUAUACCCGGGCCUUUCAGCACCAGUUUUACAAAGCAGCGGUUUUACAUGUAAUCCUUCAAGCUGUUCUUAAGUGUGUGGUUUUUACUUGCAGUCUGCCCCGUUUUAUUUGUUGUGAUUUGUUUUAUUUGGACCGGUUGCAUUUUAAGUGUGUUUUACAGUCUUGAGUUUUUACUGUUAAACUGCUGUCGCUUCCUGGCCGAAUAAAACUUUUAACUCUG
Oryzias melastigma (Indian medaka) is the source of this 830-nucleotide long non-coding RNA. RefSeq lists it as uncharacterized. The transcript is spliced from 2 exons. The record is from RefSeq and is a predicted model, not a curated record. Lineage: Eukaryota; Metazoa; Chordata; Actinopteri; Beloniformes; Adrianichthyidae.